GGGUACGUAGCUCAGUUGGAUAGAGCAUCCGCCUUCUAAGCGGACGGUCACAGGUUCGAGCCCUGUCGUACCCA
RNAcentral lists this transfer RNA (74 nucleotides) under Aphanizomenon flos-aquae FACHB-1290. Its description in RNAcentral is "tRNA-Arg". It matches the Rfam family "tRNA". From Rfam's summary of the family: Transfer RNA (tRNA) molecules are approximately 80 nucleotides in length. Their secondary structure includes four short double-helical elements and three loops (D, anti-codon, and T loops). Lineage: Bacteria; Bacillati; Cyanobacteriota; Cyanophyceae; Nostocales; Aphanizomenonaceae. The record is from RNAcentral. RNAcentral also lists the same sequence under 17 other names.